UGUGGCUGUUAUGUAGAACUGAAUAGUAUUCUAAAAUAAAAUAAAUAAAAUAAAAAAAAAAGAAGUGCAUGUAAAACCAAUGGCAUUGACCAUAUCAAUAGCUCUUAGGUAUAUGAUUGGCAUGCACAGUAAAGAAUAGAUAAUAUUUAAAAAAAAUUAAAAAAAUAAAAAUAAAACAUAAUAAUUAACUUUUCCAAUACAAUAAAAGAUUGACUCAACAGGGAAAAUCUUGCAGUAAGAAAGACAUUAAAAGGCUAAUUAUUGGCAUGUUUUAAAGCCCCAAUCAUCUCUCUCUGCAUUUGAAGUAUAUACUGAUUAGAAUGAAAACUCAGUCUCUCCAGGAUGUCAGCCCUCAGGAGGCCAUGACUUGAAUGUCUUGUGUAACUUAUUUCCACAAAUAUAGUAGAGAAGUCAAUGGACCACAUAGGAUAAUAAGAAUGAUCUUAGAUUCUCAUGUUAAAUCAGGAUCCUCAAAGGAUUUACGAAAACACAACUGGAAUAUUAAUAAGAGAAAACAUGGAGAUAAUGAACAGGAGCCCCCACUCUGGCCUUCGGGUAUAGGCAGGACAGGGAAUAAUCCUCUAUGAAGCUUUAAGCAGAGGUCUACUCUUUUUUAUUUUAUUUUAUUUUAUUUUUAAUUCUCCUCCCAGAUAUUACAUCCUGACUGUAGUUUUCCCUCUGUCCCCUCCCCUCAGUGCCCCCCAUUUUCCCUCUCCCUAAGGCCAACCCCCCCUCAAUCCCAAUCCUCCCUUCAGAAAAGAACAGGCCUCCCAGAGACAUCAACCAAACAUGGCAGACAGGCACAUAGGAUCACAUCAAGGCCACUUAGCAGGUCCCUCAAGCAGGCAAAGACUCAAAGACUGCCUCCUGCUCCCACUGUUAGGAAUCUCACAAAAACACAAAGCUAGUCAGCUAUUACACACACACACACACACACACACACACACACACACACACACACACACACACAUCCUUACAAACUCCCUGAUACCAUCGAGCCCCCAUGAGUCGUGGUCAGUUGAUUCUGUGGGUUGUGUUCUUUUGUUGUCCCUGAGCCCUCUGGUUCCUCCAGUUCUUCCUCCCCCUCCUCCUCAGGGCUCCCUGAGCUCCAGGCUAAUGAUUUACUGUGAGACUGCAUCUGCUGCAUGGCUGGAUCUGCUCCUAUCAUUUACUGGAUGAAGUCUUUCUGGUCUCUUUGAUGAAGAUUCUACUCGGCACCAGUCCCAGAACACUAUGCAGGAGUGAAAAAUUAUGAUUACUUCACUGACCUGAGACUUUCAAAGAUCAUCUUGACCCCAUCCUCUGGUUUCAGUAUUGACAAUACAACAACAUCAUGGCACCAUGCAUCUUGGCAGGCUCAACAGAAAGCGAUGACGUCCUCUUUCCCUCUGUACCAGUGCCUUAAUUGCUGAUACCCCUGCCUGUUGCUGCUUCUACUGUUGUCCCUGCGUCCCAAGUUCAACACAGCUGUUUCUGUAACUGUCAUCAUUGCCAGGGGCAUGUUUGGAAGCUAUAAAAUAUUUUGUAGCUCCUGCCAACUUUUAACAUCCUGCCACUAUCCCCAAUCAACAGAAAUUUACAGGAAGUCAUCUAGAAAGUGGAUCUGGGAAAUACCUUUUGCAUCAUCAUAGAUUAAAUGGACCUUGGUUUAAAUGAAUCUCCAUAAUGAUAACCUCUCAGAUUGUCUUACAGAUGAAGAAAUGGCAAAAAAACAAAACAAAAACAAAAACAAAAACAAAAAAAACUGAACACAGAAACACACACACAACACACAACAAAUGUACCUCAUGGAA
Molecule: non-coding RNA, 1793 nt
Organism: Peromyscus maniculatus bairdii (prairie deer mouse)
Lineage: Eukaryota; Metazoa; Chordata; Mammalia; Rodentia; Cricetidae
Source: RefSeq, a predicted model, not a curated record